UCACAAUCACGGCCCUCGAUAAACAGAGCCGCACCCACCGUCCAAAUUAAUUAUUUGCACUUGAUAAUUGUGUUAUAAUGUCUCAUGUCAGCUAUGCACUUGAUAAUUGUGUUAGAAGCUUAGAAGACUGAUUUUUGGUGUAUUCCUGUUUGGUUCAUAGAUGAUCUUGAUGCCAAAAGAUAGAGCGCCGAAAAAUCGCGAGAAAUACAUCUUUGGCUGAUUUCCAGAAGCUAUGAUCGUAGCUUCCGAGCGUUUACGCCCUCUCGGAGCUUCACCAUACGUGUGCUUGACGCUCAUACUGUUCCAAAACCCUCAUUCGCACAUGCAUCUCUCUCAGGUCGCAACAGGAGAUUACAAAUCACUCGGUGCUCGUUUUUCUCGCGGCGGUGGUCGUCCACCAUUUGAUUCGUGGUUUGCAUAGUACAACUCAAUAUGUGGUGGCGGUGGUCGUCCACCAUCCCAAUAUGUAUUGGUGAUUUGGUCCGACCUCAUCAUAAGGGGACACGUGGAUGUGACUCAACAUAAGUGACAACUCAGCGCGACCAGUCCGCCAAGAUCCAAUGUGGCAGUCCGCCAACAUAAGAUGACACUCCGAUUACCCUGAGCUAAGAUUCUUCCAAGAAGGAAGCGCCCCGAGCUAAGACUUUCGCCAGACGAGAAUCUCUCGAGCUCAAGGCACUUCGGGUUGAGCUCGGCAGCCUCCUAAGAAUAAACUCUCCCGACCAAACUCAAGUAGGCCACCUCGGGUAGAAGCACCUCGACACAGGGUAGCUCGGAGCAGAGCAACUCGGCAUAUCACAGGAAGAUCUCCUGCCUGACAACCGUACCUGCCAAAUCUGGAGACUACGCCCACGUCUCUCGCCAGGCGGCGUCGUGCCUGCCAACCCUGAGAGGUGUCCCUUGUCUGGGAGGACCGUACUCUACAACGAUUACCUGCGCCCACCAGCUCAGCCCUGGCAAGUAACAGCUGCAGUAGAGACUCAGAGGCGGUUAUGCUUGAUUUGUCAGGACAUCAAUAUAUAAGAGCAAAGGAGAGCUCCCCGGGGAUCCUUCUUCUUCCUCACAUGUAUCUCGUCCAUCGCCAGCUAGGAGUGCAGCCGCUGCCAGGUAAGAGUGACCAGAUCGCGCACCAUCAGUUUUCUUCCUUGAAAGUUACACUUGACAUAGGUACAUGGUGAAUGAAUGCAUUGGGUAGAUAUGUAUGACUGUGUUACAUGUUUGAGACAAGAUUAUGGGCUUGAGGCAGGUUGAUGAUUAAUGAAUGGAUGGGUAUAUUUUUAUGCCUGUUUUUUUCCCCA
Molecule: non-coding RNA, 1298 nt
Organism: Nelumbo nucifera (sacred lotus)
Lineage: Eukaryota; Viridiplantae; Streptophyta; Magnoliopsida; Proteales; Nelumbonaceae
Source: RefSeq, a predicted model, not a curated record